Molecule: ribosomal RNA, 489 nt
Filed under: Candidatus Neomicrothrix parvicella
Lineage: Bacteria; Bacillati; Actinomycetota; Acidimicrobiia; Acidimicrobiales; Microthrixaceae
Description: bacterial SSU rRNA
Rfam family: Bacterial small subunit ribosomal RNA
Source: RNAcentral
AGACUCCUACGGGAGGCAGCAGUUGGGAAUCUUGCGCAAUGGGCGAAAGCCUGACGCAGCAAUGCCGCGUGCGGGACGAAGGCCCUAGGGUCGUAAACCGCUUUCAGUAGGGACGAAAAUGACGGUACCUGCAGAAGAAGCUCCGGCCAACUACGUGCCAGCAGCCGCGGUGAUACGUAGGGAGCAAGCGUUGUCCGGAAUUACUGGGCGUAAAGGGCUCGUAGGUGGUUGAGUAAGUCAGAUGUGAAAUCUCAGGGCCCAACCCUGAGCCUGCAUUUGAUACUGCUCUGACUAGAGUCCGGUAGGGGAGUGCGGAACUCCUGGUGUAGCGGUGAAAUGCGCAGAUAUCAGGAAGAACACCGACAGCGAAGGCAGCACUCUGGGCCGGUACUGACACUGAGGAGCGAAAGCAUGGGUAGCAAACAGGAUUAGAUACCCUGGUAGUCCAUGCCGUAAACGUUGGGCACUAGGUGUGGGGAGAACUCAACU